This 253-nucleotide ribosomal RNA is filed under the name uncultured bacterium. RNAcentral describes it as "partial 16S ribosomal RNA". It matches the Rfam family "Bacterial small subunit ribosomal RNA", at positions 524 to 776 of the family's 1533-position model. The record is from RNAcentral.
UACGAAGGGGGCUAGCGUUGUUCGGAAUCACUGGGCGUAAAGCGCAUGUAGGCGGGUCUUUAAGUCAGGGGUGAAAUGCCAAGGCUCAACCUUGGAACUGCCUUUGAUACUGGAGACCUUGAGUCCGGGAGAGGUGAGUGGAACUGCGAGUGUAGAGGUGAAAUUCGUAGAUAUUCGCAAGAACACCAGUGGCGAAGGCGGCUCACUGGCCCGAUACUGACGCUGAGGCACGAAAGCGUGGGGAGCAAACAGG